Molecule: RNA transcript, 2586 nt
Organism: Myiozetetes cayanensis
Lineage: Eukaryota; Metazoa; Chordata; Aves; Passeriformes; Tyrannidae
Gene: TRIP4
Gene name: thyroid hormone receptor interactor 4
Exons: 14
Source: RefSeq, a predicted model, not a curated record
UUGACUAUUGUGUUCAGUUCCGGGCCCCUCAGUUCAGGAAGGAUAUUGAGGUGCUGGAGUGAGUCCAGAGAAGAGCAACCAGGCUGGUGAAGGGACCUGAGCACAAGUCCUAUGAGGAGAGGCUGAGGGAGCUGGGGUUGUUUAGUCUGGAGAAGAGGAGGCUCAGGGGUGACCUCAUCACUCUCUACAACUACCUGAGAGGAGGUUGUAGCCAGGUGGGGAUCGGUCUCUUCUCCCAGGCAAUCAGCAGUAGGACAAGAAGGCACAGGUUUAAGAUCUGCCAGGGGACGUUUAGGUUGGAUAUUGGGAAGAAGCUCUUUACAGAGAGAGUGAUCAGGCAUUGGAAUGACCUGCCCAGAGAGGUGGUGGAUUCACCAUCCCUGGAGGUUUUUAAGACGAGGCUGGAUGUGGCACUGAGUGCCAUGAUCUAGUAAUCACAGUGGGGUUGGAUCAAGGGUUGGACUUGAUGAUCUCGGAGGUCUCUUCCAACCCAGUUAAUUCUAAGAUUCUGUGAACGGGCCCGGAACGGUCGCGCCGCGGGUGCGUUGCCGGGGGGAAGGCAAGCGGUGGUUGCCGGGCGGUGCGCUGCCAUUUCCCGCCCCCCGCGGAAGAUGGCGGCGCCCAGCGCGCUCUUGGCCUGGUGCGUCCAACACCUGCGGGGCGACUUCGGGCUGGACGUGGGCGAGGAGGUGGUGAGGUACAUCCUGUCCAUAACCAACGAGGAUGAGAUCCGGGAGUACGUCAUCGACCUCCUCCAGGGCACCGAUGGGAAAAAGAGCUGGUUUGUGGAAGAGUUACUUUCCAGGUGGAGGAAGUCCUCCCAGCUGCCCUCUGAGCCUUUCCCAGCAUAUUGGAAGAAGGAUGAGGCUUCGGAAGUGCCACGGGCUGGAGAGCAAGGGAAGAAGGGGAAACGCAAAGGCAGGAACAAACAGGAGACGCCCGUGUACACCGAGCCCAGCACACACGUGGAGGAAGUGAAAACCCCCCUGGACCUGGCCAAGGCCCAGGAGAGCAGCAGUGGUGUCGGCAGCAGUAGCAUUUCCUGUAAGAAGAAGCCCAAAUAUGUCAGCCUGUACACCAAGGAGGGGCAGGACAGGCUGGCCGUGCUCAUCCCAGGCCGUCAUGCCUGUGAGUGCCUGGGCCAGAAGCACAAGCUCAUCAACAACUGCCUGACGUGCGGGCGCAUCGUCUGCGCCCAGGAGGGCUCUGGGCCCUGCCUGUUCUGCGGGGCCCUGGUGUGCACUAAAGAAGAGCAGGACAUUCUUCAGCGGGAUUCCAACAAGAGCCAGAAGCUGCUGAAGAAGCUCAUGGCAGGUGCUGAAAGUUCAGGGAAUCUGGAUGCCAUAAGCAAGGACUUGCUGCCUCGCCAGGAAGCGAGACUCAAAACAGGCCUGGAGAUGGCUGUGAAGCACAAAGACAAGCUGUUGGAAUUUGACAGGACAAGCGUGCGGCGAACCCAGGUCAUUGAUGACGAGUCAGAUUAUUUUGCCACAGACUCCAACCAGUGGCUGUCCAAGCAGGAGAGGGAAGCUCUCCAGAAGAGAGAGCAGGAGCUGCGGGAGCUGCGCCAUGCCUCUCGGCUUGCCAAAAAAAUCACCAUUGACUUCGCAGGCCGGCAGAUCCUGGAGGAGGACAACAGCAUGGCUGAGUACCACAGCAAGCUGGAUGAGACCAUUGAAGCCAUUAAUCGUGGUGCUCUGAGCGAGCCAGGCAGGAACUCGGAGGCAAAGGCAAUGCUGAAUUCUGGUGUCCUGGUGAAUCCCCGUCUCCUCCAACCUGCUCCUUUGUGGGUGGACCAAGCUGGUUUGCUCCCGCAAAGGAAAAAUAUUCAUUCCAUGGAUGCUGAAAGUGAGUCUGUCUUGGAGCGGAACAGGCUGCGGAUUCAGGAUCGAGAGCUGCAGGAGAUCUCAGAUGAUGGUUGGUGCCUCAGCAUGCACCAGCCUUGGGCUUCCUUGCUCGUGAGAGGAAUCAAAAGGGUGGAGGGCAGGACCUGGUACACAUCUCAUCGAGGGAGGUUGUGGAUUGCAGCUACUGCUAAAAGACCUUCCCCUCAGGAAAUCGCUGAACUGGAGGCCACCUACAGAAUGCUGCUCCAGAAAGAUGUGGAAUUUCCAAGCAAUUAUCCCUCAGGAUGCCUCCUGGGCUGUGUGGACCUGAUGGAUUGUUUAUCACAAGAGCAAUUUCAGGAGCAGUAUCCAGACCUGAGCCAGGAGUCUGGGUCUCCAUUUGUCUUUAUCUGCACUGAUCCCCAGGAGAUGGUUGUGAAGUUUCCCAUCAAAGGAAAACACAAAAUCUGGAAGCUGGAUGCAAAGAUCCAUCAGGGAGCGAAGAAGGGGUUAAUGAAGCAGAAAGCUGUGGGGUGAGCGCCAGGGGAGCAGCACCGGUUCCCACGAAGCACCCAGCCGCCUCCAAAAAGUGCCAGCAUGGUCCUUGGCUCCAGAAAGCAGGUGCAAGACGGAUCCCUGAUCCCAGAUUGCUUUUAGCAGCAAUGCCGUCACCUGGGCAGACCCCAACCACUGGAAGCCCCCAAGGACGUAGGUGACCCCCAGGGCGUGGAGACAGGGAAUAGCCUUGAAUCGUGAGGGG